GCGGCCUAUCAGCUUGUUGGUGAGGUAAUGGCUCACCAAGGCAACGACGGGUAGCCGGCCUGAGAGGGCGACCGGCCACACUGGGACUGAGACACGGCCCAGACUCCUACGGGAGGCAGCAGUGGGGAAUAUUGGGCAAUGGAGGGAACUCUGACCCAGCGACGCCGCGUGCGGGAUGAAGGCCUUCGGGUUGUAAACCGCUUUCAGCAAGGAAGAAGCGAAAGUGACGGUACUUGCAGAAGAAGCACCGGCUAACUAUGUGCCAGCAGCCGCGGUAAUACAUAGGGUGCAAGCGUUGUCCGGAAUUAUUGGGCGUAAAGAGCUCGUAGGUGGUUCGUCACGUCGGAUGUGAAAAUCUGGGGCUUAACCCCAGACCUGCAUUCGAUACGGGCGAGCUAGAGUGUGGUAGGGGAGACUGGAAUUCCU
This 426-nucleotide ribosomal RNA is filed under the name uncultured Actinomycetes bacterium. RNAcentral's name for it is "bacterial SSU rRNA". It matches the Rfam family "Bacterial small subunit ribosomal RNA", at positions 233 to 671 of the family's 1533-position model. The record is from RNAcentral. Lineage: Bacteria; Bacillati; Actinomycetota; Actinomycetes.